AUAUCUUCACCAUGUAUUCCUAUGGCUACCCGCAUGUACAAAUGCUGUGGCCUCUCCAACACACGCCCGUUGAUUUUUAGUAGAUAAGAACGUUCAAGAGUUUUGUAACCAAAUGGUAUAGAGGUCGUGAAUAGUAUCUGCAAGAAAAAGUACACAUUUAUACACGUUGGCUUACGUAAUUUUACAGAAACUCUAGCUAAUUCCUUAAGCCGAGGAUUUUAUGUACAUUCGACUACAUAUACACACCAAAAUAAAAACCGUUUGGGAUUUUAAAUGCAAUUACUUUCAAGGAGUGUUAAAUGAAUAAGUAUGUUUAGUACAUAGGUUAAUUUAACGUGCAGAAGAUUUUUCCGUUGAAUAAGUUCUGAGAACGAAACCUGUCGCACUUUUGAGGGUCAUAAUUUGAGCAUUCACUCGCCUACAUUUCACCCGAUAUCAAAUAUGGAGUUCAAUGAAAGUUUAUGCUGGUGCAAAAUUCGGUACUCCUAGGAUGAAC
Molecule: long non-coding RNA, 496 nt
Organism: Hermetia illucens (black soldier fly)
Lineage: Eukaryota; Metazoa; Arthropoda; Insecta; Diptera; Stratiomyidae
Exons: 3
Source: RefSeq, a predicted model, not a curated record